GCCACCAGACUGGGGUUCGGGGGGGGGGGUGCCCUCCUCCGGACCCACCUUCCGCCCACCCCUGUCUGUGUUAAUUAUUGUCUGUUUCUUUUGUUUAGGCAUGUCUGGGAGCCGUGCCUUUGAAGGGGGGUACUGUCAUGAUCCUGCCGCUCCAGCCCGGGCUGUGCGGGUGCCUGUGCAGUUGGUAGGCGCACACCUGCGCCUCAUGCAGCCUUAUUAUGCUGUGUAUUUAUCAGACCCCCGAUGACGACUGGGGGGCGCCAGUUCGUUGAGCUUCAUGUCCCGUUCGAGUGCUCCGGUAUCCCUGAUCAACAACCCGUGUGUACCGACCUUCGCCUGUUCUCCAACCAACCUUGGAAUGGUUAUAUUGAAGGGAAGGAGUUGGAGAAUUUCUUUUGGGAGCUAGAAUCUGCUCGAAGAGGAGCUGGCGUAGUGAGUCAAGACCCUUCAAACCCAACAUUCAGAGAAAAGAUGAAGGAGUUCAUGCAGAAGUUUGACAAGAACAAAGAUGGAAGAAUUGAGAUGUCAGAGCUGGCCCAGAUUCUCCCCACUGAAGAGAACUUCUUGCUAUGCUUCAGACAGUUUGUCAGUUCCAGUGCUGAAUUCAUGGCAGCAUGGCGACGAUAUGAUACAGAUCGCAGUGGUUACAUUGAAGCAAACGAAUUGAAGGGCUUUCUAUCAGAUCUCUUAAAGAAGGCUAACAGAAACUACAAUGAACAGAAGCUUAACGAGUAUACGCAGACCAUUCUCAGGAUGUUUGAUCUGAAUGGUGAUGGAAAAUUGGGCCUUUCAGAGAUGGCAAGAUUGCUUCCUGUUCAAGAGAAUUUCUUGCUCAAAUUCCAGGGUGUCAAGCUGACCAGUGAGCAGUUCAAUGCAAUCUUCACAUACUAUGACAAGGAUGGAAAUGGGUACAUUGACGAGCAGGAGUUGGAUGCCCUGUUAAGAGACCUUUGCCUGACAAACAAAACGUGACAGUGCCACAACACCUUAACUGUACUGUAGUCACUUGGAGACACUGCUAGAACACCUGACUGAAGAGGCCGACCUGAAGAACCUAACAGGCUACAAGCAGAGCAUCAUGAGCCUGUCUGAUGGAGGAAAGCUCUACCGUGGCGAACUUGAAAUCGUCCUCUGCAGGGAGCCACUUCAAUGAUUUCAGAUCCUUUCUUGCUGUAUAUGCUAAUUAUGUCUGCUCUGCCUGCCUUGCUCUCCCAGUUAAACACUAACUUCCUACUGACUGGCAACAAAACACCAGGUGCAUGUGCCGUACCUUCCAUCUUCUCCAAAAGCUAUUUCUUCUGAGCGAAUGACAAGUACAACAUUGGCACAAAAUAGUUUUUUCACCCGUAAACCCUUGUUUUCUGCAACAUGACAUUUCAAACCCAAGACGAUAUUUUAUGAAACAUCUAGCAACCCCAACACCCCACAUGACAUCCUAUGAUGCCAUAUGAUUUGAAAUUCAAUGUUUAUUUGCUGAUACUGUAAAAUGAAAAUCUCAAUAAAAUCUCUUAACGUUAAUUUUUUUAAAUUAUUUUAAUCUAGACAGGCAAUUGCUUCAUUUAUUGCAUAGAUUAUAGUCAGUGACUUUCAACACCUUCUCUUCUUUGUCCCAUAUUUUUUUUUUUCAGUUACAAGAGAUUCAACCUUCCUUGUUCCAAAGUGUAAUGUCCCCCAUCACACACACAUAGGACAAGACAAGCACACUAAUGACAUAAUGGAGCUGUGGAGCUUUUGAAGGAAUGGAGCUUUUCCAGAAGCCGUUGGCCAAUUUAGAUCAAUUGCUCAACCACAUGGGGUGUGUUUCAGCCUUCUGCAUAAUGCACAAAAUAAUUAAUUAUACAUAAAUUUUUGAAUAAUAGCUGCUUCCUGACAAAAUAAAUGGAUGAAAUCAAAUCUAGUUGUUAAUAACAACAUUAAUUAAAUAAAGCAUCGGUUUUUGAAUUUUUUUUUAAAUCAAGCGAAGUCUAUGUAAGCGCAUACAAUAUUACCAAAGAUAAGCAACAGAAACAGAGGCUCCUUGGCUGAGUUGAUAAUCUUUACAUAAGAAGCUGUUGCGCCCAAUUUCUAGUAAAACCUGUGUAAUUGAGUUGGCAUGCUUUUAAAGUCUAAAUUAUAUAGCAGGCCUGCAGCCUCCCAUCUCACAGUGGAGCUGGGGCAAACCCACAUCAAUUAAUCAAAAAUAUUUAACUCUUUAGCUGACAUACAGAUGGACAGCAAUAAUGUUCAUAACUGAAAAUUGAGGGCAGAUGUUGUGAAUUAUGUAUUUGUCAAUGACAAGUCAUCUUAGUCUUUAUGUCAGCUUUGCUGAAGAAGCAAUGGUAAGAAAAGAAAAAAAAACUGCAAAUAUUACUUACCAUUACUUAGUCACUGAUGAUAGGCGCAGUUAUUUUAUUCCAAUAUUCCUCAUGUAAUUGAAAAUUUAUGCUACAACCCAGAUUCCUGUGUACUGUACUUUAAAUUGUAACACAAAAGCACACAUGCAUAAUUGACUGACUUUAAAAAGAACUGAG
Molecule: RNA transcript, 2510 nt
Organism: Syngnathoides biaculeatus (alligator pipefish)
Lineage: Eukaryota; Metazoa; Chordata; Actinopteri; Syngnathiformes; Syngnathidae
Gene: calb2a
Gene name: calbindin 2a
Exons: 12
Source: RefSeq, a predicted model, not a curated record